Molecule: ribosomal RNA, 320 nt
Filed under: uncultured eukaryote
Lineage: Eukaryota
Description: partial 18S ribosomal RNA
Rfam family: Eukaryotic small subunit ribosomal RNA
Source: RNAcentral
CCCUUAGAUGUUCUGGGCUGCACGCGUGUUACAAUCGGGAGUACAACAAGAUUGCAAAUCCUAGUGGAUGAGUGGUUCUUCGAAAUUUUCUGAAGACUGGGAUAGUUGAUUGAAAUUAUUCAACUCAAACGAGGAAUUCCUUGUAAUUGUAAUUCAUUAUAUUGUAAUGAAUACGUCCCUGCCCUUUGUACACACCGCCCGUCGCUCCUAUCGAUUGAACGAUCCGGUGAAUUAUUUGGAGUAGCUCUGGAAGUUGCAGAACUUCCUAUGUCACGAAAUUUUGUAAACCUUAUCGUUUAGAGGAAGGAAAAGUCGUAACA